UUUUAGAUCUCUGUACCAAAACCAGAUAUCCGCAAUACCAAACAAUGUCUUUAAAGAAUUGCCAAAUUUAGAGACACUGUACAUCUAUAGCAAUAACAUAACUACAUUAGACAAAGACAUGUUCCUUGGACUUCCAAAAUUAAAGGCCCUGUCGGUGGACAGGAAUCCUCUGCAUUGUGAUUGCAUCUUAGCCGAUUUUGUCAGGUUUGCCCAAUCAAGAAACUUAAAGUUAGGACGUUUUUCUGAACCAAGAUGUACAACUCCCAGUAAUCUGACAGGAGUAUUGUUACGGGAUCUCUCCUCAGAGGAUAUGAAAUGUGACGUCACUAAAGCAACAACACCAGUAACGGAAACAUCAGGUAAAAUGAUUAUUUUUAUUCAAUAAAAAACAC
Long non-coding RNA from Saccostrea cuccullata (small rock oyster), 392 nucleotides. RefSeq lists it as uncharacterized. Lineage: Eukaryota; Metazoa; Mollusca; Bivalvia; Ostreida; Ostreidae. The transcript has 3 exons. The record is from RefSeq and is a predicted model, not a curated record.